GAAGGUCUUCGGAUUGUAAAGCACUUUAAGUUGGGAGGAAGGGCAGUAAGCGAAUACCUUGCUGUUUUGACGUUACCGACAGAAUAAGCACCGGCUAACUCUGUGCCAGCAGCCGCGGUAAUACAGAGGGUGCAAGCGUUAAUCGGAAUUACUGGGCGUAAAGCGCGCGUAGGUGGUUCGUUAAGUUGGAUGUGAAAUCCCCGGGCUCAACCUGGGAACUGCAUCCAAAACUGGCGAGCUAGAGUAGGGCAGAGGGCGGUGGAAUUUCCUGUGUAGCGGUGAAAUGCGUAGAUAUAGGAAGGAACACCAGUGGCGAAGGCGACCACCUGGGCUCAUACUGACACUGAGGUGCGAAAGAGUGGGGAGCAAACAGGAUUAGAUACCCUGGUAGUCCACGCCGUAAACGAUGUCAACUAGCCGUUGGAAUCCUUGAGAUUUUAGUGGCGCAGCUAACGCAUUAAGUUGACCGCCUGGGGAGUACGGCCGCAAGGUUAAAACUCAAAUGAAUUGACGGGGGCCCGCACAAGCGGUGGAGCAUGUGGUUUAAUUCGAAGCAACGCGAAGAACCUUACCAGGCCUUGACAUCCAAUGAACUUUCCAGAGAUGGAUUGGUGCCUUCGGGAACAUUGAGACAGGUGCUGCAUGGCUGUCGUCAGCUCGUGUCGUGAGGUGUUGGGUUAAGUCCCGUAACGAGCGCACCCGUGUCCUUAGUUACCAGCACGUUAUGGUGGGCACUCUAAGGAGACUGCCGGGGACAAACCGAGGAAGGCGGGACACGAAGG
Molecule: ribosomal RNA, 782 nt
Filed under: uncultured bacterium
Lineage: Bacteria
Description: bacterial SSU rRNA
Rfam family: Bacterial small subunit ribosomal RNA
Source: RNAcentral